RNAcentral lists this ribosomal RNA (305 nucleotides) under uncultured bacterium. RNAcentral describes it as "bacterial SSU rRNA". It matches the Rfam family "Bacterial small subunit ribosomal RNA", at positions 337 to 659 of the family's 1533-position model. The record is from RNAcentral.
GCCUACGGGGCGCAGCAGUGGGGAAUAUUGCCCAAUGGGGGAAACCCUGAUGCAGCAACGCCGCGUGAGUGAAGAAGUAUUUCGGUAUGUAAAGCUCUAUCAGCAGGGAAGAAGAUGACGGUACCUGACCAAGAAGCCCCGGCUAACUACGUGCCAGCAGCCGCGGUAAUACGUAGGUGGCAAGCGUUGUCCGGAUUUACUGGGUGUAAAGGGCGUGCAGCCGGAGAGACAAGUCAGAUGUGAAAUCCACGGGCUCAACCCGUGAACUGCAUUUGAAACUGUUUCCCUUGAGUGUCGGAGAGGUA